RNAcentral lists this ribosomal RNA (1140 nucleotides) under Proteiniphilum acetatigenes. RNAcentral describes it as "bacterial SSU rRNA". It matches the Rfam family "Bacterial small subunit ribosomal RNA", at positions 100 to 1239 of the family's 1533-position model. Lineage: Bacteria; Pseudomonadati; Bacteroidota; Bacteroidia; Bacteroidales; Dysgonomonadaceae. The record is from RNAcentral.
GCACGGGUGAGUAACACGUAUGCAACCUGCCUUCAACAAGGGGAUAACCCGUUGAAAGACGGACUAAUACCCUAUAACACAGGGGCCCCGCAUGGGGAUAUUUGUUAAAGAUUAAUCGGUUGAAGAUGGGCAUGCGUUCCAUUAGCUAGUUGGUGGGGUAAUGGCCCACCAAGGCAACGAUGGAUAGGGGAACUGAGAGGUUUAUCCCCCACACUGGUACUGAGACACGGACCAGACUCCUACGGGAGGCAGCAGUGAGGAAUAUUGGUCAAUGGACGCAAGUCUGAACCAGCCACGUCGCGUGAAGGAAGACGGCCCUACGGGUUGUAAACUUCUUUUGCAAUGGGAAUAAAGUGAGUCACGUGUGACGUUUUUGCAAGUACCUUGCGAAUAAGGAUCGGCUAACUCCGUGCCAGCAGCCGCGGUAAUACGGAGGAUCCGAGCGUUAUCCGGAUUUAUUGGGUUUAAAGGGUGCUCAGGCGGGCGAUUAAGUCGGCGGUGAAAUUUUGCGGCUCAACCGUAAAAGUGCCUUCGAAACUGGUUGCCUUGAGUGUGGAUGAGGUAGGCGGAAUUUGUGGUGUAGCGGUGAAAUGCAUAGAUAUCACGAGGAACUCCGAUUGCGCAGGCAGCUUACUAAGCCAUAACUGACGCUCAAGCACGGAGGCGUGGGGAUCAGACAGGAUUAGAUACCCUGGUAGUCCACGCAGUAAACGAUGAUUACUGGCUGUUUGCGAUAUAAUGUAAGCGGCUGAGCGACAGCGUUAAGUAAUCCACCUGGGGAGUACGUUCGCAAGAAUGAAACUCAAAGGAAUUGACGGGGGCCCGCACAAGCGGAGGAACAUGUGGUUUAAUUCGAUGAUACGCGAGGAACCUUACCCGGGCUUGAAAUGCAUCUGGCGUCUCCAGAGAUGGGGAUUUCCUUCGGGACAGAUGUGUAGGUGGUGCAUGGUUGUCGUCAGCUCGUGCCGUGAGGUGUCGGCUUAAGUGCCAUAACGAGCGCAACCCUCAUCGUUAGUUGCCAUCAGGUCAAGCUGGGGACUCUAACGAGACUGCCAUCGUAAGAUGCGAGGAAGGUGGGGAUGACGUCAAAUCAGCACGGCCCUUACGUCCGGGGCGACACACGUGUUACAAUGGGUGGUA